Molecule: long non-coding RNA, 263 nt
Filed under: Hordeum vulgare
Lineage: Eukaryota; Viridiplantae; Streptophyta; Magnoliopsida; Poales; Poaceae
Description: long non-coding RNA (HVUL_LNC018867)
Source: RNAcentral
UAAUUGAACUAUAUAAGCUAAUUAUGUCAUUUUGGAGGAUAAUUAGCUAAGAAGAAGAAGAAGAAGAGGAAGAGGAAGACUAGAAGAAGAAGAAGAAGAAGAAGAAGAAGAAUAAGGAGAAGGAGAAGGAGAAGGAGAAGGAGAAGGAGUAGGAGUAGGAGAAGGAGAAAGUGAAGGAGAAGGAGAAGGAGAUGGAAAAGGAGGAGGAGGAGGAGGAGAAGGAGAAGGAGAAGGAGAAGGAGAAGGAGAAUGAGAAGGAGAAG